Molecule: ribosomal RNA, 496 nt
Filed under: Arthrobacter nitrophenolicus
Lineage: Bacteria; Bacillati; Actinomycetota; Actinomycetes; Micrococcales; Micrococcaceae
Description: bacterial SSU rRNA
Rfam family: Bacterial small subunit ribosomal RNA
Source: RNAcentral
CCGCGUGAGGGAUGACGGCCUUCGGGUUGUAAACCUCUUUCAGUAGGGAAGAAGCGAAAGUGACGGUACCUGCAGAAGAAGCGCCGGCUAACUACGUGCCAGCAGCCGCGGUAAUACGUAGGGCGCAAGCGUUAUCCGGAAUUAUUGGGCGUAAAGAGCUCGUAGGCGGUUUGUCGCGUCUGCCGUGAAAGUCCGGGGCUCAACUCCGGAUCUGCGGUGGGUACGGGCAGACUAGAGUGAUGUAGGGGAGACUGGAAUUCACGGUGUAGCGGUGAAAUGCGCAGAUAUCAGGAGGAACACCGAUGGCGAAGGCAGGUCUCUGGGCAUUAACUGACGCUGAGGAGCGAAAGCAUGGGGAGCGAAAAGGAUUAGAUACCCUGGUAGUCCAUGCCGUAAACGUUGGGCACUAGGUGUGGGGGGACAUUCCACGUUUUCCGCGCCGUAGCUAACGCAUUAAGUGCCCCGCCUGGGGAGUACGGCCGCAAGGCUAAAACUC